Molecule: ribosomal RNA, 403 nt
Filed under: bacterium
Lineage: Bacteria
Description: partial 16S ribosomal RNA
Rfam family: Bacterial small subunit ribosomal RNA
Source: RNAcentral
UGGGGAAUAUUGCACAAUGGGGGAAACCCUGAUGCAGCGACGCCGCGUGAACGAAGAAGGUAUUCGUAUCGUAAAGUUCUGUCCUAUGGGAAGAUAAUGACAGUACCAUAGAAGGAAGCUCCGGCUAAAUACGUGCCAGCAGCCGCGGUAAUACGUAUGGAGCGAGCGUUGUCCGGAAUUAUUGGGCGUAAAGGGUACGCAGGCGGUUUAAUAAGUCGAAUGUUAAAGAUCGGGGCUCAACCCCGUAAAGCAUUGGAAACUGAUAAACUUGAGUAGUGGAGAGGAAAGUGGAAUUCCUAGUGUAGUGGUGAAAUACGUAGAUAUUAGGAGGAAUACCAGUAGCGAAGGCGACUUUCUGGACACAAACUGACGCUGAGGUACGAAAGCGUGGGGAGCAAACAGG